AGUGAACGCUGGCGGUAGGCCUAACACAUGCAAGUCGAACGGCAGCACAGUAAGAGCUUGCUCUUACGGGUGGCGAGUGGCGGACGGGUGAGGAAUACAUCGGAAUCUACUUUUUCGUGGGGGAUAACGUAGGGAAACUUACGCUAAUACCGCAUACGACCUACGGGUGAAAGCAGGGGAUCUUCGGACCUUGCGCGAUUGAAUGAGCCGAUGUCGGAUUAGCUAGUUGGCGGGGUAAAGGCCCACCAAGGCGACGAUCCGUAGCUGGUCUGAGAGGAUGAUCAGCCACACUGGGACUGAGACACGGUCCAGACUCCUACGGGAGGCAGCAGUGGGGAAUAUUGGACAAUGGGCGCAAGCCUGAUCCAGCCAUACCGCGUGGGUGAAGAAGGCCUUCGGGUUGUAAAGCCCUUUUGUUGGGAAAGAAAAGCAGCAGGUUAAUACCCCGCUGUUCUGACGGUACCCAAAGAAUAAGCACCGGCUAACUUCGUGC
This 493-nucleotide ribosomal RNA is filed under the name uncultured bacterium. RNAcentral describes it as "partial 16S ribosomal RNA". It matches the Rfam family "Bacterial small subunit ribosomal RNA", at positions 29 to 508 of the family's 1533-position model. The record is from RNAcentral.